AACGUAGGUCACAAGCGUUGUCCGGAAUUACUGGGUGUAAAGGGAGCGCAGGCGGGAGGACAAGUUGGAAGUGAAAUCUAUGGGCUCAACCCAUAAACUGCUUUCAAAACUGUUUUUCUUGAGUAGUGCAGAGGUAGGCGGAAUUCCCGGUGUAGCGGUGGAAUGCGUAGAUAUCGGGAGGAACACCAGUGGCGAAGGCGGCCUACUGGGCACCAACUGACGCUGAGGCUCGAAAGUGUGGGUAGCAAACAGG
This 253-nucleotide ribosomal RNA is filed under the name Faecalibacterium prausnitzii. RNAcentral describes it as "partial 16S ribosomal RNA". It matches the Rfam family "Bacterial small subunit ribosomal RNA", at positions 524 to 776 of the family's 1533-position model. Lineage: Bacteria; Bacillati; Bacillota; Clostridia; Eubacteriales; Oscillospiraceae. The record is from RNAcentral.